Molecule: ribosomal RNA, 142 nt
Filed under: Pronodularia japanensis
Lineage: Eukaryota; Metazoa; Mollusca; Bivalvia; Unionida; Unionidae
Description: partial 16S ribosomal RNA
Source: RNAcentral
AACACUAGGAACACCUGUGCUUUUUAUACCAGAAAAAUUUUUCAUCUGAGUGAAAAGACUCAGAUAAUGAAGGAAGACGAAAAGACCCCGCGGAACUUUACCUUUUCCUGCACUCCUGCCCAGGAGCACAAAAGUGCAACAG